RNAcentral lists this unclassified non-coding RNA (334 nucleotides) under soil metagenome. RNAcentral describes it as "partial contains 5.8S ribosomal RNA, internal transcribed spacer 2, and large subunit ribosomal RNA". The stretch from base 1 to 120 matches the Rfam family "5.8S ribosomal RNA", at positions 35 to 154 of the family's 154-position model. The record is from RNAcentral.
GAUGAAGAACGUAGCGAAAUGCGAUAAGUAAUGUGAAUUGCAGAAUUCAGUGAAUCAUCGAAUCUUUGAACGCACAUUGCGCCCGCCAGUAUUCUGGCGGGCAUGCCUGUUCGAGCGUCAUUUCAACCAUCAAGCCCCAGGCUUGUGUUGGAGCCCUGCGGCUGCCGCAGCCUCCCAAAACCAGUGGCGGGCUCGCUAUCACACCGAGUGCAGUAGUUUACUCUUCGCUCAGGGCGUGUGGCGGGUGCUAGCCGUGAAACCCCCAACUUCUCAAGGUUGACCUCGGAUCAGGUAGGAAUACCCGCUGAACUUAAGCAUAUCAAUGAGCGGAGGA